Molecule: ribosomal RNA, 527 nt
Filed under: uncultured bacterium
Lineage: Bacteria
Description: bacterial SSU rRNA
Rfam family: Bacterial small subunit ribosomal RNA
Source: RNAcentral
AAUAGAUACCCUGGUAGUCCAUGCCGUAAACGAUGUCUACUAGCCGUUGGGGCCCUUGAGGCUUUAGUGGCGCAGCUAACGCGAUAAGUAGACCGCCCGGGGAGUACGGUCGCAAGACUAAAACUCAAAUGAAUUGACGGGGGCCCGCACAAGCGGUGGAGCAUGUGGUUUAAUUCGAUGCAACGCGAAGAACCUUACCUGGCCUUGACAUACAGAGAACUUUCCAGAGAUGGAUUGGUGCCUUCGGGAACUCUGAUACAGGUGCUGCAUGGCUGUCGUCAGCUCGUGUCGUGAGAUGUUGGGUUAAGUCCCGCAACGAGCGCAACCCUUUUCCUUAUUUGCCAGCACUUCGGGUGGGAACUUUAAGGAUACUGCCAGUGACAAACUGGAGGAAGGCGGGGACGACGUCAAGUCAUCAUGGCCCUUACGGCCAGGGCUACACACGUGCUACAAUGGUCGGUACAAAGGGUUGCUACUGCGCGAGCAGAUGCUAAUCUCAAAAAGCCGAUCGUAGUCCGGAUCGCAGU